GAAAAAAUAAAACGCGCAUGUGCAACUCCUCUUUCCUUGAAGCGUGGAGGCUGCAAUGGAGGGUCUUUUCCAAGGGCCGCUGAGUCGACAAAGCAGAGGAAUGCUUUACCAUGCUGAACUACAACUGUUCAGUAGGAAAUCCAAAGGAUGACCAUGGGUGAUAUGGAGACUAUAUAAGAAAUUAACUAUUGAGUAGAAGUAGUCUGGAGCAUGGAUGUCUCAAGACAAGAAAUUAACUACUGGAUAGAAGUAUCCUGGAGCAUGGAUGUCUCAAGACAAGAGUGAGAAGAAAAGCAAAUUUGAAUCGGCUGCAGUUUGACGCAUCAAGGUCGCAGCUCCUGGCGCAUAGUUGUAUAUGAACUGCAAGAUCUGCUGAUGGAGAGUGUUCAAGGUCAGGUCUCGUCUAUGAAGGGACUCCAGGUCACGCAGAUCACAGGGAAACACCGCAUCGGGUGGAAUAACAAGUGCUGAGGCACCUGCGUUCCCAAGACAGAUUCUUAAGAACAUGUUGUACAAUGAGAUGGCUCUUGACCGAUUAAAAAUAAUGUUUUCAAAUAAAAGGUCAAUGUUAAAAUUGAAAUAAAGUUUGUAUAAAGUA
This is a long non-coding RNA of Clarias gariepinus (North African catfish), 598 nucleotides long. RefSeq lists it as uncharacterized. Lineage: Eukaryota; Metazoa; Chordata; Actinopteri; Siluriformes; Clariidae. The transcript has 6 exons. The record is from RefSeq and is a predicted model, not a curated record.